Molecule: non-coding RNA, 30 nt
Filed under: Rattus norvegicus (Norway rat)
Lineage: Eukaryota; Metazoa; Chordata; Mammalia; Rodentia; Muridae
Source: RNAcentral
UAUUUCUUUGAUGUUUGGUCUCUUUGUGGC